Molecule: non-coding RNA, 66 nt
Organism: Podarcis lilfordi (Lilford's wall lizard)
Lineage: Eukaryota; Metazoa; Chordata; Lepidosauria; Squamata; Lacertidae
Source: the annotation of a GenBank genome assembly
GCAGCUCAGUGGUAGAGCACAUGUUUUGCAAACACAAGGUACCGGGUUCAAUCCCUGGUAUCUCCA